UACGGAGGUUGCAAGCGUUGUUCGGAAUUACUGGGCGUAAAGGGGGCGCAGGCGGCUUGACCAGUCUGAAGUGAAAGCCCGGGGCUCAACUCCGGAAUGUCUUUGGAUACUGUCAAGCUUGAGUACGUGAGAGGAGAGUGGAAUUCCAGGUGUAGCGGUGAAAUGCGUAGAUAUCUGGAGGAACACCCGUGGCGAAAGCGGCUCUCUGGCACGUUACUGACGCUCAGGCCCGAAAGCGUGGGGAGCAAACGGGAUUAGAUACCCCGGUAGUCCACGCCGUAAACGUUGUGCGCUAGGUGUAGGAGGUAUCGACCCCUUCUGUGCCGCAGCUAACGCAUUAAGCGCACCGCCUGGGGAGUACGGUCGCAAGACUGAA
This 376-nucleotide ribosomal RNA is filed under the name uncultured bacterium. RNAcentral describes it as "bacterial SSU rRNA". It matches the Rfam family "Bacterial small subunit ribosomal RNA", at positions 524 to 898 of the family's 1533-position model. The record is from RNAcentral.